CUUUAGUUGCAUCCCUCGCGACUAAUGACAACCCUUAACCGCCCCUGCGGUAAAGCCUCUCAUUAGCCGCGCGAAACUCUGCAAACAAAGAUCACACUAAGCAACAAUACAUGAGUUUGGUCCGGAUUGCUGCCGAUUGCUCGAAAAAAGGGGCCAUAAAGGCCCCCUUUU
RNAcentral lists this small RNA (171 nucleotides) under Pantoea agglomerans. Its description in RNAcentral is "SraG RNA". It matches the Rfam family "SraG RNA". Rfam says of the family: This RNA was discovered in E. coli during a large scale screen. Evidence was found for specific cleavage of this RNA. The record is from RNAcentral. Lineage: Bacteria; Pseudomonadati; Pseudomonadota; Gammaproteobacteria; Enterobacterales; Erwiniaceae. RNAcentral also lists the same sequence under 3 other names.